Sus scrofa (pig) is the source of this 5226-nucleotide non-coding RNA. NCBI's taxonomy places the organism in Eukaryota, Metazoa, Chordata, Mammalia, Artiodactyla, Suidae. The record is from RefSeq and is a predicted model, not a curated record.
GGCAAAGGGAAUAAGAACUUGGCCACAGCCUCUAGGGGUACCUGGCAUGUCACUGUUGGCCAGUGGGCCAAGCACUCCCUAAUCCCAGCCCACUGCCCACCCCACCACAUAGGGAUCUUUGAAACCCCAGGGUCUGUGAGUUCUCCAGGGCAGCAAACCCCCACCCCCUUCCCCUGGCCACCCUCCCCCAUCCUGGGACAGGCUCUGCAGGGCUGACUCAGGGUCCUGCAGAGUUAGUCACAUUCACUUAUAGCUGCAGAGUCAGAGGCCAGGGAUGGGGAUCGGGUCUCCAAGGCCCGCCCCCUACUGGGCAGGACAUUUGUCAUCUGGCAAAGGGCAUAGGCACCCAAGCGGGGCAGGAUCUGGAGGCUCCCCAGGCCCUCUGUGGCCUCUCCUCAACAAGGACAGCAGGUGGUAAGAUGUGGCCACACUCCUGUGCCCCUGGCCCCAGGGAAGGGGGAGAAGGUAUGUGUGGCUGAGGACCCUAAAUAAAUUCCAUGUGUAUUUAUUUUUCAGUUGUGAGCUAUAUCAUCCAUGCUGAAGAGUGCAUAAAAUGUAUUUAUUUAAUUGAAAGAAUUCCUUUAUAGUGAAAGCCUGUGUAACCAUUACGCAGGACAGGAAUCAAGACCUCAUUAGUGGCCCUGAGCUCCAAUCACAUACAUCCCCGUCGCUGCCCCCAGAGGCCAGCACUCUCCUGACUCUCCCUGUCUUCUUUUGUAGAGAUGCCCCUUGAAGAAGAGAGCUGGUGCCGCCUGUGUGUGAAUUGAACACGAGUGGGAAUCACACCACUCUGUGUGUCCAGCUCCUUUUGCUCCCCAUUAUGUCUGUUAGAUCACCCGUGUAGCUGAAGCUUUUAUUCUAGUUUUGGUUUCUAGGUGCAGAGACACUGCACAGUUAAUUAUGGAUCCCCUUGUUGAGGGAGGGCUGCUUUCUCCAGAUUUGGCGACUGCAGACAACACUGCUGUCAGCAUUGGCAUGUGUGUCUCCUGGGGUGCAGGUGUGAGGGUUUCUGGGGUGGGCCAUAGAGUUUGAACAUUUUCAACUUGACCAGAUGCUCACCCACUUUUGUCCAAAGAGAAUGCUCCCAUCUACACUCCCACCAGCAAUGGGUGUUCUCGUUCCUCCCCCUCCUCCCUAACACAUGUUAUUUUCAGGGUUAUUAAAUCAUCACCAGUCUUAACGUUUUACUGGAUGAAUGACUCAAUGACUAGCAAUUUGGUCCUGCCUGCCUCAUUUUCCCCAUGGCAUGUACGUGUCCAUGCCAUGCCCUGCUUUGAAGCCUCUAGAAGUCUCAGAGUGCUGUCCUCCUCCAAGUUCUCUUCCAGAUCUUCCUUACGACUUUAUUCCACCCUCAAGGGCUAGGUGGGGGAUUCUCACGGUGCUGUCUUUAGCAGAGAGGGAGACCAAGGGCCAGGCCAGGGGUUGGGGAGGCUGGGUGACCAGGGGACUUAGUUUCCCUUCCUGGGGUCCCAUUGCCCUAAGAUCCUCCUCCAAUCAUCCCCGCCUCAGGCAUCCCAAUGCCCUCCUUUUCUUGGCCCUCAACCUCACACAGCACAGGUGAAGCUCCUUGGGAACGUGAGGACCAGGGAAUUGUGGGAAUUCCCUGGCAACAAAGCAGGGAGUGCUCUCUGGGGAAGCCUGUUUCAGGCUGUCUGGACCCCAGCACCCAAGCUGAGAAGCCUUGAGCACAAGGGCCCCACAGAAGCCAAACAUGCAGAGCUUGAUCUGGGUUUAUUCUCCAGAUGAAAGCUCUUGUUCCCAAAUGCCCUGACCCCUGGCACAGGCUCCCGGCAAGUCCCAUCUCACCCAUCUGUACCCUCCUCCCAUCUGGGCACCAGAACCCCAGCUACUGAGAUCCAAUCAGGGUGAUGGACAAGGUCCCGUGCUCCUCAAGGGACCCUUACAGUUCCUCCCCCAGAGCUAUUCCUGGCUUAGGCUCCUCCCACGCUCUGGUCCCCCUGCCUGACCUGACCCCACAGCUGGGAAUCACUUGCUUGGGGGUGGGGCAGCCCCCCUGACUAUAUAUGCCUGGACCUAGGUGUCCCAGGCACCCUGGAAGCACAGACCCUCCACUGCUAAUCCCUGCACACUCCAGCCUGACCCCUCAGCCAGCCCCAGCAAUGACAGGAAAAGCCACCUUGGAGGCCCCCGACUGUGGUCCAGAGGAGACUGCCUCUGAAUCUGCAAAUGUGCCCGCCACAGAGCCCUCUGGAGAAGUGGCAGCUCCGAAGUCUACGGGGGAAGAGCAGACUCCCAAGCCACAGGAACCUGCCCCUCAUGUACCUGCCCCCGAUGCCCCAGCAGCCAGUAAACCAGCACCUCGGAGUGAAGAUGUCCCCAGUGCCCCGCUGCUGCUGGCCGUGGAGGACGUGGGUGAUAGCUCGGUGACUGUGAGCUGGGAGCCCCCGGAGUGGCUAGGGAAGCUGGGUUUCCAGGGCUACGUGCUGGAACUCCGCCGAGAGGGAGCCUUGGAGUGGGUGCCUGUGAACACCCGGCCCAUGAUGGUGACCCAGCAGACCGUGCGGAACCUGGCUCUGGGUGACAAGUUCUUCGUGCGUGUGACUGCGGUGAGCUCUGCAGGGGCUGGCCCACCGGCUGUGCUGGAUCAGCCUGUCCACAUCCAAGAGACCAUUGAGGCCCCCAAGAUCCGUGUUCCCCGCCACCUUCGUCAGACCUAUAUCCGUCAGGUGGGAGAAGCAAUUAACCUGCAAAUCCCCUUCCAGGGGAAUCCCACGCCUCGGGCCUCAUGGACCCAUAAUGGCCACGCCCUGGACAGCCAGCGGGUGAACGUGCGCACUGGGGACCAGGACUCCAUCCUCUUCAUCCGCUCAGCCCAGCGCUCGGACUCAGGCUGCUACGAGCUCACCGUCCAGCUGGAAGGCCUGGAGGCUAAGGCAGCCAUUGACAUCCUGGUGAUUGAGAAACCCGGAUCCCCCAGCAGCAUCAGGCUACUGGACGUCUGGGGCUGCAAUGCUGCCCUUGAGUGGACACCACCCCAGGACACAGGCAACACAGAGCUCCUGGGCUACACAGUGCAGAAGGCAGACAAAAAGACAGGGCAAUGGUUCACGGUGCUGGAGCGCUACCACCCGACCACCUGCACCAUCUCUGACCUCAUCGUGGGCAACUCUUACUCCUUCCGGGUCUUCUCGGAAAACCUGUGUGGACUCAGUGACUCGGCCGCUGUCACCAAAGAGCUCGCCCAUAUCCAGAAGACAGAUAUUGUUGCCAAACCUAAAAGCUUUGUUGAGCGAGACUUCUCAGAAGCCCCUUCAUUCACCCAACCCCUGGCUGACCACAUCUCUACCCCUGGCUACAGUACUCAGCUCUUCUGCAGUGUCCGAGCAUCACCCAAGCCCAAGAUCAUCUGGAUGAAAAACAAGAUGAACAUCCAGGGUGACCCCAAAUACCGGGCCAUCUCUGAGCAAGGUGUCUGUACCCUGGAGAUCCGGAAACCCAGCCCCUUCGAUUCCGGGGUCUAUACCUGCAAGGCCAUCAAUGUGCUGGGGGAGGCAUCUGUGGACUGCCGGCUGGAGGUCAAAGGUGAGGGCUUGAGGGGGGAUGCUCCUUAGAAACCCUCCCAUGGAUGGGAGAACAGGAGAAGCCACCUCUUCUGGUGGCCUAGAGCACUGGGCUGAGCCCUGAAAAUCAAGGCAAGACAGGGAGCAGUAAAGAUUGAGGUCGGGCGGUCAGAAGGACUUUCCACGAGGAAGGAGGGCUCAGUGUGGGGAAAGGAGGUGGUAGAGUCCACCUUGUGGACAGACGGAUCCUUGGGGUGAGGGUGUGAGCCUCACUCACCCCCCUUCAGCCCCCUCCCCUGCUCAGGUCCCCAGCAGACACCCAUCCCCUCUGGAGCUCUAACCUUUGGGUCUCUCCCAGCCUCAGCCACACACUGAAGAGCCCCUGGAGGAGGCCGUGAUGAGGAGAAAGGUGCUGCAGGCCUGAGGGGUCAGGGCAGCCGGGCCUAGAAUCAAGCUCCACGGAUACCACAGAUUCCCGUUUCCACAGUGACAGCUGAUGGCUUUGCUCCUUGGUACCUGCCAGCCCCCUUCCUCCCCCAAGAGUGGGCCUAGCAGGUCUCAGGCCAGGCUUCCUGGACACAAGGGGCCCCAGAAGGUGCUAAGAUUGGAGCACUGCUGCAGAGAGUAGUGCGCUGGGCGUGAAGCACUUGAAUAAAGGUGUGUGGUGUUACAGUACAGGGGCCUCUGUGACAGUGAGCAUCAUCCGUGUGGGCACGGCCCUGUGUCACCAUGAGGGGGAUGUUGAAUGUGUCACUACGAGGGGGUCUCCACCUAUGACACCACGAGGAAGGUGCUGGAGGGAGGGAACGCAAGCCGUUAUGGGUGUUUGCCGGGUAUGAGAUUUUUUAGGAUCUCCUUUCACAUUUAGGGUUUGCUCCCCUAAGAGGAUAACUAUAGGAACAGACAUGGCCUUCUCUGGAACACUCCUUGCUCCAAUCACCCCCACAUCCUACCUCUCUUCACUUCUCCUCCAUCCCUCAUCAUUGCUUCUUUUCUGCCGAAGCUGUCUGCAGCCCUUGGACAGUGGUAGCUACGUUCUCCAGGAGGCUUCACAAUCUUUUAUUAGUCAGGGGGCCAGGGGACAUCCCACAUCUGAGAGAAGAAAGGGCCUGAAAGCAAGGCCUAGAGUUGCUAUUCACACUUGGAACCUGGCCCCUCUCCCCUCUGAUAAGGGGCUCUGGACUUGGCAGGGAGUGAACCCUUCCCCAAGGGUCUAGGCUAAAGGCCUAGAAAGCCCAUGAAAACUGUGCUAAGUUCCAGGGCUACUGAGGGAACGUAAAUGCUGGCAAGACUUUCCUGUCCACACACUCAGGAGGCUAGUCUCCUCUGGCCUGACUAGCCUGUCUCACUUCAUCCCAGACUGUCCACGGCAGCCUGCUUUCCCUCAUCCAUCUCGUCCCCUGGCAGGCAGAAUGCUCCCCAAAGCUGGCAUGUCUGGAGUUCUCCUCACCAUCUGGCCCAGAAGCAGCAGAGAUGGGUGUCACGUAGGAGGGUACAGGCCCAUCAUCAGGGGCUGGUGGAGCUGGUGGCCCGGAUGACAGGCUCCACCAGGCUCCCACUUAGGACGCUCAGGCAAGAAUGAGGGCUCAAUGCUGCCACCUAGUGGCUCCUUGAGGUCCACAUCUACCAUUCCACACUAGCGCUGGGGCUUGGAGCUGCCACUCAGGUCCCAAGGGCUAGUGGAGAAUAAAACAAAUAUUGGCAA